RNAcentral lists this ribosomal RNA (570 nucleotides) under Triticum aestivum (bread wheat). RNAcentral describes it as "partial small subunit ribosomal RNA". The record is from RNAcentral. Lineage: Eukaryota; Viridiplantae; Streptophyta; Magnoliopsida; Poales; Poaceae.
AUGAUUCUCCUAGGGUGGAACUGCCGCGGGAUGCGUCAGUCCCGGGCAGUUAGAGCACUCCUGGAUGUUCAGAAGUGCUACAAACCAGAUGUGUUAUUUCUAUCGGAAACACAUCUGUCUGACGCAAGGGCCGAACGGUUGAUGAGAAAGCUAGGGUUCCAGGAGAGGCUGGUUAACCCGAGUGAUGGUAGGGCGGGAGGCUUACUGAUGAUGUGGAGAAACGGAGUGUCCGUCACAAAACAUGGGGUCACUGCAAAUUUCAUUGAUGUAACAAUAGAUGACGGGAGAAAAUGGAGGUGUACAGGUUUUUAUGGUGAGCCGGUUAAGGAAAAUAAACACAAGUCAUGGGAGUACUUGCGUGCUCUGCACCAACAAAGAGAUGAACCAUGGAUAGCAUUUGGAGAUUUUAAUGAGAUACUAUUUUUGCAUGAGAAGGAAGGUGGAGUAGCUAGAGAGCAACGAUCCAUGCAAGCGUUCAGAGACGCUCUUUCUGAAUGUGAGCUGGAGGAUAUGGGAUUGACGGGGGGACGUUUAUACAUGGAGCAGAGGACCGAUCAAGGAGAGGCUUGA